GUUGUAGCUUCCUCUCUCAUCUCGUAGUGCUACAAU
Non-coding RNA from Neisseria wadsworthii 9715, 36 nucleotides. Lineage: Bacteria; Pseudomonadati; Pseudomonadota; Betaproteobacteria; Neisseriales; Neisseriaceae. The record is from Rfam.